GACAGAGGCCCCAAGCGUUAGUCGGAAUUACUGGGCUUAAAGGGUGCGUAGGCGGGCGCGUAAGUGUUCUGUGAAAUCCCCGGGCUCAACCCGGGAACCGCAGGGCAUACUGCGCGUCUCGAGGAAGCUAGAGGCCGGUGGAACGAUCGGUGGAGCGGUGGAAUGCGUAGAGAUCGAUCGGAACGCCAAGGGUGAAGACAACCGGCUGGGGCUUUCCUGACGCUGAGGCACGAAAGCGCGGGGAUCAAACAGG
This 253-nucleotide ribosomal RNA is filed under the name uncultured bacterium. Its description in RNAcentral is "partial 16S ribosomal RNA". It matches the Rfam family "Bacterial small subunit ribosomal RNA", at positions 524 to 776 of the family's 1533-position model. The record is from RNAcentral.